CAACCCCACCCCUGGGGCCCCAAAGGGGCUGGGGGCUCCGGGGGCCCCCCUUGGCUUUUUUUGUGGCUGUUUUCCUUGUCCCUUCCCUGGCGGCGGGCGCCAGUGGGCAGGUGCGGGGUUCUGUGGCAGGUGGAAUUCAUACAGCAGUUACUUAGGGAGAUGGUCACAAGAAAAAAUACCUGAACAAGAUAACAACUAAGUCUAGGGCGCCCACAAAGACGGCAGAUGACGCUCAUGAAGGGACCUGGGACACAGUGGAGAAGAGAUAGAUGGGCCCAGGCCGGCCUCAGCUGGCCCUGGAGACUCUGCGGGGGGAGGGGCAGGUGGGCCUCGCUCUCAGGCUACAGUAAUAAUACUUUGCUCCCGGGUAGCACCUUCACAGUCCUCCUGCCUCAACCCCCAGGUCAGGUGACGGCAGCCUCACAACCUCCCCUAUGAGCCCUGCCCCGUCCUCACCCCAUACCACCCGCCUCCUCCUGUGUCGUCCCACCGGCCCCUGGUCCCACCACUUGCCACCCCUCCCCCGCCUCUGAAACCCAGAGGCCGGUGGUCAGUUGGGAACAGACCGUGCACCAAGACGCUCUCUGCAUGUGAUUGGUUAAUAGCUCCGUGGGUGGGGCUCGGAAGAAAGAGAUGCAGUUGCCCCGCCCACUCAUUGCAGACCUUCCACAGCACCCUCGGAUUGCUUCCACACAGCCUUCGGAGAUGCUGCCUCCCAGCUGCGGGCUGCUCCCCAGCCCGCCCAAAAAGGACCCCGCAGUUGGGGCAGGCCCUCCCUUUAAGCAAAGCUACAAUACAGAAAAAUUGGGAUUUACA
Long non-coding RNA from Suricata suricatta (meerkat), 816 nucleotides. RefSeq lists it as uncharacterized. NCBI's taxonomy places the organism in Eukaryota, Metazoa, Chordata, Mammalia, Carnivora, Herpestidae. The record is from RefSeq and is a predicted model, not a curated record. The transcript has 3 exons.